AAACGCCUAUAAAUAUUUCAUGUUAUGAAAGAAAAUCACAUGAUAUUUUUGUCCGUAUAUCAUGUAAUUUUACAUAAUCAAGUGAGUUUUAAAAGUUUUACAUAGUCAGCACACAUAUUUCUCCAUAUAUUAUAUUAUUUCACAGAAUCACAUGAGUUUUAGCAAUUCUACCCAACCAACAUCUUUAUUUUGUCAAUAUAUCCUGUUAUUUCAUAUAAUCACAUGAGUUUUAACAAUUUUGAACGACCAAAAAAAAUAUUUUUUCAAUAUGUCAUAUUAUUUCAUAGAAUCACAUGAGUUCUAACCUCUUUCACAUGUUUCAUAUCCACCACCGCAAACACUACCACCGACAGUAUCACCAGUAUGAUCUUCUCCACCGCUGCUAUUUUUAUGUUUCUCUUCUGUUCAUUGGAUUGUUUUUUUUUCUCUUUAUUUCUUUCUCCACAAAUAUAUAGUUUGGUAAUUACCAUAACUCUAAAGAACAUUUUGGUAUUUAUAUCACCUUGACCCCACUUUCAAAAGAGUUAGUUUGCAAAGAAAUCUGACAUAAGGUUAGUUACUUAAUUUAUUUUUAUUUCAUAGUCAUCUACCAAAGUUGCUCUUUUUCUAUCUCUCACAUGGUCCCAUGUCUAAUUAUCAUAUUGUAAAUAGUAAACAUACUUAGAGCAAGUCCAGUGGAGUAACAAGUACCGUUACUCAAUCUUUUUAAGGCCCAAAAAUAAAUCAAAAACCUUAAAAUAUGUCCAAUUUUCAGAGAAUCGAUUCUUAUGAAGGCAACGGAAGAACCCAAUAAGACAUGAUACGUGUCAAUUUUGCAUUGGAUAAUGAGUAAAUAGAAAUUUUUUUUUUUUUCCCAAUUUCUUCUUUUCUCUUUCCCGACUCUCUCUCUCUUUUCUCUUGUGAUACUUCCCUCUCUCUCAAAUCCAUAGAAAUCAUUGAACAAAUCCAUAAAAAUCAUUGGAUUCAAGGCGAUUACGAAGGUCAUGCCUCUUUACGGUCCUAAUUCUCAAGGUGGUCGUUGUGUGGGAGGUUUCUCCUCUGGUCGCGGUGGUGCUCAUCCUGGUGGAGGGCGCGACGGCGGUGGUAGUCGUGGCGGUGGUGGUGGCGGUCGUGGGAAACAGCGAUGGUGGUAUCAGCGAUUUUGUAUCUCAAACAACAUUGUUGAAAGAUUUCGUUUUUUGUCCUUGAGGAGGAUGAAGAAGUAGAUUGAAGAGCAACAUAGGAAAGCAUUAGAGGAGUAUCCUUCUGAUUUUGCAUAAGAUGAGAGUAAAGAGGCUGGUAGGUAAACAUGAUGGCAUACGGUCAGAACUUCGAUGAUGGAAGAGACGAUUACAAUUAGGUAGAUGAUGGUUACAGAACAAUAGGCGGCUGACAUUGGCUGAUUUCAUUGAUCAUCCAGAUUGUGGAGACUAUUUUAAAUCCAGAACUGGUUAAUAAUCUAGAGGAGCGGUUUAGAAAAACCGGGACAUUUUCGGUUCGAGAAAUCAACUCCCCUUCCUCCGAAACAAAAUCCCACCUUUAUCGGUUUUGCACUAAACCAGACCCACCUGCCAAAAAUCUGGUGGUUUUGGGACCGCCGUAGCAAGAAGAACAAGAUGGAGAGAGAUAGUCUAAGUCAACGAAGAGUUAAAAGAGGUAACUUUAUGAGGUCAAUCAAAGUCGGAAUAAAGUUUUGAACUUUCUUGGAAUUGGGACUUGGUGAUGAUUGCAUAAAACAUGUAAAAAUAUAUGGAUUGGUGAUUGAAGAGCCAAAGCGCCUUCCUGCUGAUGACGUAAAACAGAGAUUCGAUUCAAAUAGCUUCAAAUUAACAAGUAACCGAUAAACAUCAAACAACGUUCACAAGAGACGCAGAAUCAUCAUCUCAUCUGUAAGAGUCUCCGAUGGAGAUCCAACAAAACGAUGAGGAAGAUAGAUUCUAGAGAUCCUAGAAAGCUAACAAGUUCAGAUAAUUUGCAUAAUGAAAGCAGAGCUAACAUGUGCUCUAAAUACUCUGUGAAAACAUAAACAGAGUUAUAACGUUUACUAGCAUGGUUAACGGCUAACGACUCCAGCCCUUUGUCUCACGAGUUUCUCUUAUUCUUCUUAUCUUGACCAUCCAUGUGUAGACUCUCGUUUAACCUAGUCUACACAUUGCGUAGUCUGAUCUUUCUAUAUUUCGU
Molecule: long non-coding RNA, 2160 nt
Organism: Camelina sativa (false flax)
Lineage: Eukaryota; Viridiplantae; Streptophyta; Magnoliopsida; Brassicales; Brassicaceae
Source: RefSeq, a predicted model, not a curated record